UGCACUGGUGCUGCUCUGGCUGACAAGGAAUACCCCACACCCACAGACUGCUGGGAAGAUGGAGACUGUCUGCUUCCAGCUCAGAACUACAGUGUAAAUAAGCUUCCAGGAUCACUACCAUGAAAACGCCACAUUCUGCUUUACAAAUUCUACCCACGUUGGGAAAAACUGGCUUUUUCCCAUCUCUUUCCAGGGCAAAAAAACCUCAACCUAGUUGUUAUUUACCCUAGUAACUGGUGUUCUUUUUUUUUUUUUUUAGGGGGGAAAUUUGCAUUUAUUUUUCUUUUGAUGGUUAACUCCUUUGUAUUGUAAAAUUAUGAACUCUGAUAUGUAAAACAGAAAAAAAUCUUGACAACAGCUUCUUGCUUGUAAAAAUAUGUAUUAUACAGCUCUAUUUUCAAAGUCUCCUGAAAAAAUGACUGCUUAUCUCCACAUUGUAUGUGGGGCUUUGCCACUGGUCUGCAUGGACUGAGGCCCAGUGGGCAGAGGUGAUGGAAACAGGCAUGGCAGACUCAGUGUUUUUCUCACUGCUUCUCUGCAAGGAUAGAGCCACAGUGACAAGGCUCCAACUGCAAGGGCCCACUCUCCAAAAUGCUGCCUUCCUAGGGUUUGCUCUGAGAGACAGUUUGACCCCAACUCAUUCCUGCUUUUUUUCCUCUCUACUCUAUUGGCUUCAAAGUUAUUUGUUUGUUUGUUUAUUUAUUUAUUUAUUUGAAAAGAAGUUAUUUUUUUUCUUACUUUCUUUUUUCUUUCUUUUCUUCCUUUUCUUUUUUUUCUUUUUUUGAGGCAGCAUUUCAUGUAGAUCAGGCUAGCCUUGAACUUGUAGCAACCUUCCUGCCUUUGCCUCCUGAAUGCUGGGAUUAUAGGUGUAUGCCACCACUCCUCGACAGAAACCAUAUAUAUGUGUGUGUGAAUGUGUGUGUGUCCAUAGGGGAAGGGGCCAGGAGAAUGAGAUAUGUAGCCCAGGCUAGCCUCUUGUACAUCCACCUGCCAAAUGCCAUGAUUACAGGUUUGUGCCACUAUGUUUAACUAAACACAUUCUUUAUGCUCACUUUCAAUUUACAGUUUUCAGGGGACACUGUGAGGUACUAUACAGCUAGUGCUGGAUGCUGCACAGUUGAGGGGAAAGAACAAUCUUAAGAUUACAAGACAAAACGAAUCACCUACAUGAAAAGAACAAAGGAAGCAGAUUUCCAUUUUGCCACCUUUUUCUGUUCAAGUAGUACCAAACUGGAGACAAGAAGGCAAAAGUACUUCAUUAACCAAAGAACAGAGGUCACUUGACCUCUAAAAAGUUUAGGACUCAGGCUGUUCCAUUCCCUCUUAAAGAUGCCAAGAUAACCCUGGGAAGUCCAGUCCCCUAAACAUGCCUGUCAGUCAGCCUGUGCAAAUAACGCAAGAGGAGAGAAUUCAUCCAUGAGCUCAUAGGCAAUGAAGAAAAACCAAAGGAGAGUUAGUUAGCUUAGAAAGGAGAGCUGCUAUCCUAAUACAAACUGCUAGCUUCAAGAAGCAUUCCCAGUCC
RNAcentral lists this long non-coding RNA (1522 nucleotides) under Rattus norvegicus (Norway rat). RNAcentral describes it as "long non-coding RNA NONRATT027649". The record is from RNAcentral. Lineage: Eukaryota; Metazoa; Chordata; Mammalia; Rodentia; Muridae.